UUUGUGUGUCAGGAUGGCCGAGUGGUCUAAGGCGCCAGACUUAAGGUUCGGCUCUGUAUGCAGUAAAGAGACUUCUGGUCUCCAAUUGGAGUCGUGGGUUCGAACCCCACUUCUGACAUGUCUUUACCGUUUUAUAAUCCACUUUGGACACUAAAUUAUUUUGACUCGCUAACUUUUUCAAGGUGGCAGAAAACGUUUGUCUUUCCUUUGUUUGUGUGUCAGGAUGGCCGAGUGGUCUAAGGCGCCAGACUCAAGGUUUGACUCCUUCUUCAGGAAAGAGGCUUCUGGUCUCCAAUUGGAGUCGUGGGUUCGAACCCCACUUCUGACAUGUCUUUACCGUUUUAUAAUCCACUUUGGACACUAAAUUAUUUUGACUCGCUAACUUUUUCAAGGUGGCAGAAAACGUUUGUCUUUCCUUUGUUUGUGUGUCAGGAUUGCCGAGUGGUCUAAGGCGCCAGACUCAAGGUUUGACUCCUUCUUCAGGAAAGAGGCUUCUGGUCUCCAAUUGGAGGCGUGGGUUCGAACCCCAGUUCUGACAUGUCUUUACCGUUUUAUAGUCCACUUUGGACACUAAUUUAUUUUGACUCGCUAACUUUUUCAAGGUGGCAGAAAAUGUUUGUCUUUGCUUUAUUUGUGUGUCAGGAUGGCCGAGUGGUCUAAGGCGCCAGACUCAAGGUUUGACUCCUUCUUCAGGAAAGAGGCUUCUGGUCUCCAAUUGGAGGCGUGGGUUCGAACCCCACUUCUGACAUGUCUUUACCGUUUUAUAAUCCACUUUGGACCCUAAAUUAUUUGACUCGCUAACUUUUUCAAGGUGGCAGAAAACGUUUGUCUUUCCUUUGUUUGUGUGUCAGGAUGGCCGAGUGGUCUAAGGCGCCAGACUCAAGGUUUGACUC
Molecule: long non-coding RNA, 893 nt
Organism: Gasterosteus aculeatus aculeatus (three-spined stickleback)
Lineage: Eukaryota; Metazoa; Chordata; Actinopteri; Perciformes; Gasterosteidae
Source: Ensembl